RNAcentral lists this ribosomal RNA (375 nucleotides) under uncultured bacterium. Its description in RNAcentral is "bacterial SSU rRNA". It matches the Rfam family "Bacterial small subunit ribosomal RNA", at positions 523 to 898 of the family's 1533-position model. The record is from RNAcentral.
AUACGUAGGGGGCGAGCGUUGUCCGGAAUUACUGGGCGUAAAGGGUGCGUAGGCGGCGCCUUAAGUCAGAUGUGAAAUAUCCAUGCUUAACGUGGAGGGUGCAUUUGAAACUGGGGUGCUUGAGUGCAGGAGAGGAAAGUGGAAUUCCUAGUGUAGCGGUGAAAUGCGUAGAUAUUAGGAGGAACACCAGUGGCGAAGGCGACUUUCUGGACUGUAACUGACGCUGAGGCACGAAAGCGUGGGGAGCAAACAGGAUUAGAUACCCUGGUAGUCCACGCUGUAAACGAUGGAUACUAGGUGUAGGGGGCGAUAGCUCUCUGUGCCGCAGCAAACGCAAUAAGUAUCCCGCCUGGGGAGUACGAUCGCAAGGUUGAA